RNAcentral lists this ribosomal RNA (665 nucleotides) under uncultured bacterium. RNAcentral describes it as "bacterial SSU rRNA". It matches the Rfam family "Bacterial small subunit ribosomal RNA", at positions 70 to 710 of the family's 1533-position model. The record is from RNAcentral.
ACUUUUUAUUUGAUGCUUGCAUCUUUUAAAAAGUUGAGUGGCGAACGGGUGAGUAACACGUGGGUAACCUACCUUAAAGUGGGGGAUAACACUUGGAAACAGGUGCUAAUACCGCAUAACCAUCAAAACCGCCUGGUUUUGAUGUUAAAGAUGGUUCUGCUAUCGCUUUAAGAUGGACCCGCGGCGUAUUAGCUAGUUGGUGAGGUAACGGCUUACCAAGGCAAUGAUACGUAGCCGAACUGAGAGGUUGAUCGGCCACAUUGGGACUGAGACACGGCCCAAACUCCUACGGGAGGCAGCAGUAGGGAAUCUUCCACAAUGGACGAGAGUCUGAUGGAGCAACGCCGCGUGAGUGAAGAAGGUUUUCGGAUCGUAAAACUCUGUUGUCAGAGAAGAACGUGUGUGAGAGUAACUGUUCACGCAGUGACGGUAUCUGACCAGAAAGUCACGGCUAACUACGUGCCAGCAGCCGCGGUAAUACGUAGGUGGCAAGCGUUGUCCGGAUUUAUUGGGCGUAAAGGGAACGCAGGCGGUCUUUUAAGUCUGAUGUGAAAGCCUUCGGCUUAACCGAAGUCGGGCAUUGGAAACUGGGAGACUUGAGUGCAGAAGAGGAGAGUGGAACUCCAUGUGUAGCGGUGAAAUGCGUAGAUAUAUGGAAGAACACC